Molecule: ribosomal RNA, 459 nt
Filed under: uncultured bacterium
Lineage: Bacteria
Description: partial 16S ribosomal RNA
Rfam family: Bacterial small subunit ribosomal RNA
Source: RNAcentral
CCUACGGGAGACAGCAGUGAGGAAUAUUGGUCAAUGGCCGGAAGUCUGAACCAGCCAAGCCGCGUGAAGGACGAAGGUGCCAAGCAUUGUAAACUUCUUUUGUCAAGGGACAAAAUCAGGCUCGAGAGCCUGACCGAGGGUACUUGAAGAAAAAGCAUCGGCUAACUCAGUGCCAGCAGCCGCGGUAAUACGGAGGAUGCGAGCGUUAUCCGGAUUUAUUGGGUUUAAGGGGUGCGUAGGCGGACUGUUAAGUCAGCGGUAAAAGCCCGGGGCUCAACCCCGGCGAGCCGUUGAAACUGGCUGUCUUGAGAUGUCGAGAGGUAUGCGGAAUGCGCAGUGUAGCGGUGAAAUGCUUAGAUAUUGCGCAGAACUCCGAUUGCGAAGGCAGCAUACCGGCGGCGAUCUGACGCUGAGGCACGAAAGCGUGGGUAUCGAACAGGAUUAGAUACCCGUGUAGUC